UGCAGUAUGCUAAUGUUUUUUAAGAAGUUAUGACAGUUUAUUUAUUUAUUUUUGCAUUUAUAUUUAUACAAAAUGUUUGGGCUACUGUUUUUGAUAACGCAUACAUAAUAGGUUUGUAGAAAAUCAACAACAACAAAAAAAAUCUAUAAAUAUUUUCAUAAUUUUUCAGGAAUUGUUGAUUUCUUUUUCAACACUUGUAAGUCUGAACCAGAAUAUCAAGAUAUUUUAUUAUUUUGUAAAAAAGCACCACCAUGUUAUAUGUAUAAUAAAAUUUGAGUAUGACAAACACAAAUCCCUUCUAUUAUUUUAUCCCUUGAGGUAGCCCUCGCACACAAAAAGGUUGGUUGGAGGAUGGAGACCCCUGGUAUAUAACUAUGUUUUAUAAUUAUAUGUUUGUGUAAUUUGGGGUUUCUGCCUGCAGUGACACUUUUGUGUGUGAGGCCCCAUCCAUCCUCCCCUCAAUACGGUGCAGUCGUCCUGUCCCUCUUGCAGAAAAGCAUCCAUAAAGAAUGAUGUUUCCACCUCCAUGCUUCACAGUUUGGAUGGUGUUCUUGAGGUUGCACUCAUCCUUAGUCUUCCUCCAAACACAACAAGUAGAGUUUAGACCAAAAAGCUCUAUUUUCAUCUCAUCAGACCACAUGACCUUCUCCCAUGAAUGAGUAUGUGGACAAGUGUCUUUUAUACAGGUAACAGUUCAAACCGGUGCAGUUAAUAAAAAGUGGAGAAAAGGAGGGCUUCCUGUGAGAGCUGGAAUUCUUACUGGUUGAUAGGUGAUCAAAUGCUUAUGUCAUAAACAAUAAACUGCAAAAAUAUAUAUUUUUAAAAUAUACAAUGUGAUUUUCUGGAUUGUUAUUUAAGAUUCUGUCAUUAGAGUAGAAGAGUAUACCUAAGAUAAAAAUGACAGGCUCUUACGUGGUUUGUAAGUGGGAACCUGCACAAUCCCCAGUGUAUCAAAUGCUUUUCCUCCUCACUGUAGAUAACUGAGGGGAACACUUAUUUUAAAAGUGCCAUGUUGACACUGUUUUGGAGUUGCAACUCUGAGUUCAAAUGACUGCAAACAAUCCCAUAUGAUACUUCAUCUGGUGCCCACUCUAAAGCAAAACUAUAUUCUUUCCAGUUAUUAAUUUAAAAUAACUUUCAUAUUAUCUGUAAUCGAAUGUGUUCCAUCCUACAGUUCCUCCUUUAAAACCCUUGCCUCACACUUGAAUUGCCAGGCAGGAGUUUAUUUUACUAACGUGAUUGUUUCUUUAAUCAACAUGACAAAAUAGUUUUGUCUUUUUUAUUUAUAAUACAGAGCUUAACUGUAGAGACCUACAUUUCGGUUGGAUAAAGGAGGGUACAUAAAUUAACCAAUAUCAAAAGCGUAUGUUGGUUAAUUGUUGUGGGUUUUUCCAUCUUCACACACACACACACUCGAGACCGGUGUAUGUCCUGGUUAAGACUAUCCGGGUCCCCACAUAGUCAACCCCUCCCCCACACCUAUACCCGCGCGCGCGUCUGGAGCUAAUGAUUGCAUCUCGUCACUCACUCACUGGACGAGCAGGAGCUGCAAACGCAGCAGCAAUCAGCGUGUUCGUUCUCCAAGGUUUUCACUCAUGGAGAGAAGAACUUGGACCAAUCCAGGAUGCGGAGUACCAUAUCCAAGCGGGGAUUGAUAAACCAUGUCUCCAGCGUUUUAUCAAUAAUUUUAAAGCAUUGAUGCAUGUGAAAAGGACUCCUCUCUUGG
Molecule: long non-coding RNA, 1726 nt
Organism: Carassius auratus (goldfish)
Lineage: Eukaryota; Metazoa; Chordata; Actinopteri; Cypriniformes; Cyprinidae
Exons: 4
Source: RefSeq, a predicted model, not a curated record